This 497-nucleotide ribosomal RNA is filed under the name uncultured bacterium. RNAcentral describes it as "partial 16S ribosomal RNA". It matches the Rfam family "Bacterial small subunit ribosomal RNA", at positions 28 to 507 of the family's 1533-position model. The record is from RNAcentral.
GAUGAACGCUGGCGGCGUGCCUAAUACAUGCAAGUCGAGCGAACAGACGAGGAGCUUGCUCCUCUGACGUUAGCGGCGGACGGGUGAGUAACACGUGGAUAACCUACCUAUAAGACUGGGAUAACUUCGGGAAACCGGAGCUAAUACCGGAUAAUAUAUUGAACCGCAUGGUUCAAUAGUGAAAGACGGUUUUGCUGUCACUUAUAGAUGGAUCCGCGCCGCAUUAGCUAGUUGGUAAGGUAACGGCUUACCAAGGCAACGAUGCGUAGCCGACCUGAGCGGGGGAUCGGCCACACUGGAACUGAGACACGGUCCAGACUCCUACGGGAGGCAGCAGUAGGGAAUCUUCCGCAAUGGGCGAAAGCCUGACGGAGCAACGCCGCGUGAGUGAUGAAGGUCUUCGGAUCGUAAAACUCUGUUAUUAGGGAAGAACAAAUGUGUAAGUAACUAUGCACGUCUUGACGGUACCUAAUCAGAAAGCCACGGCUAACUACGUG